CCUACGGGCGGCAGCAGUGGGGAAUUUUGCGCAAUGCUCGUAAGAGUGACGCAGCGACGCCGCGUGAAUGACGAAGGCCUUCGGGUCGUAAAGUUCUUUCGACAGGGAAGAAAAUGCCUAUAAGUAACUGUGUAUGUAUUGCCGGUACCUGUAUAAGCAGCCCCGGCUAACUCCGUGCCAGCAGCCGCGGUAAUACGGAGGGGGCGAGCGUUGUUCGGAGUGACUGGGCGUAAAGAGCACGUAGGCGGUGUUGUAAGUCAUUAGUCAAAGACUAGAGCUCAACUUUAGUAAGGCUAGUGAUACUAUAAUACGAGAGUAUCAGAGAGGAUUGCAGAAUUCCUGGUGUAGCGGUGAAAUGCGUAGAUAUCAGGAGGAAUACCGUUAGCGAAGGCGGCAAUCUGGCUGGAAACUGACGCUGAGGUGCGAAAGCGUGGGUAGCAAACGGGAUUAGAUACCCCUGUAGUC
RNAcentral lists this ribosomal RNA (465 nucleotides) under uncultured bacterium. Its description in RNAcentral is "partial 16S ribosomal RNA". It matches the Rfam family "Bacterial small subunit ribosomal RNA", at positions 338 to 795 of the family's 1533-position model. The record is from RNAcentral.